UCUUGGUCAUUUAGAGGAAGUAAAAGUCGUAACAAGGUUUCCGUAGGUGAACCUGCGGAAGGAUCAUUAUAGAGUUAUGCCCUAACGGGUAGACCUUUUUUAAACCCUUUUUUUUGUCGUCUGAGUAUUAUUUUAAUAGUUAAAACUUUCAACAACGGAUCUCUUGGUUCUGGCAUCGAUGAAGAACGCAGCGAAAUGCGAUAAGUAAUGUGAAUUGCAGAAUUCAGUGAAUCAUCGAAUCUUUGAACGCACAUUGCGCCCCUUGGUAUUCCAGGGGGCAUGCCUGUUCGAGCGUCAUUUCAACCCUCAAGCUUUGCUUGGUAUUGGGCUCUUGUUGUUAACACAACAGGCCUUAAAAUCAGUGGCAGUGCCGUUGAGUCCUGAACGUAGUAAUAUAUUCCGUUAUAGGUUCUCAAUGUGUUUUUGCCAUUAAACCCCCCAAUUUUCUAUGGUUGACCUCGGAUCAGGUAGGGAUACCCGCUGAACUUAAGCAUAUCAAA
RNAcentral lists this small RNA (500 nucleotides) under Lambertella sp. FC-2645. RNAcentral's name for it is "eukaryotic LSU rRNA". The stretch from base 144 to 297 matches the Rfam family "5.8S ribosomal RNA". Lineage: Eukaryota; Fungi; Ascomycota; Leotiomycetes; Helotiales; Rutstroemiaceae. The record is from RNAcentral.